CCCCAAGUAACAGCCACUCAGCAAAUAGCACCAAAUGAAGACGGAGAAUAACAUAUAGAUUUGCCGUAAGAAAAAAUUGAUCUAAAUCCAUAUAUCAAAUCUGCUGAUCAGAGCUCUAGAGAAAUGCUUCACAAUCCUUAGCAAGCACUUGCAGGAAGUUUGGGCAGAAAGAAGACCUUCCUGAAGCUUAUAUUAAUAAAUCAUCUUGUCAACUGUUUCUCAAUGUGGAAUGUGUUCCUCAAAAAUCUGCUGAGAAAUCAGAUCCCCAGGGAUUUACGUGCACCUUGCGCUGUGAUGAUCAGCAAGAGCCCCGCCUGACUUCAAGCCAAGCAAGAUAUCAGUGCCUCUCCACAUCUGAAGAAUGUUACAUGGUGAUUCAGCCCAUGGCGAUCCCUAAGACAUGUUACUUCCAUUGAAUUAAGACACAAAAAGUUGCCUGAUGGCUCUUCUCACCAUGCUAACUGGAACGCCUGAGAAGAAAAUCAAAUCACCGCAGCCGGCACUCCCUGCUUCCCCAUCCUACUUCCCUGAGAAAACUGAAGCUGUCAGAAGAGAACUUCCACAGAUUCCUACCACCAUAGAUGCUCUCCAGAUGGUUAAAUCCAACUGUACUUGGUGUAACUGCCUGGAGCACAGUGGAUCACUCACUCCUCCUUGAUACACGUGCUUCCCUGCCCUCUCUUAGGUUUCCACCUCCCUCUGACUCUUUCUUAGUCCACACGACUUCUUCAUCUCUUUCCCCAGAUGUCUCCAUGUGUGACUUCUCCAGGCACAGUCCUUUCCCUUUUUCUGCUGCUACUCUCACUUCUGGGGUGACCUGGGCAGCACUUGCCCAACUGCUGUUCUCCCUAUUACGUGUGACAUCAACUCUGUCCUCCCAACUGCUCAAGUCUUAGCUAUCCUUGACUCUUCCCUUUCUCUCACACCCACAUCCAACCCAUCAGGGAUUCUGCCACACUGCCUUUAAAAUGUAUUCAUGACCCAGUUUCUCACAGCUUCCACGUCUGCCCCCAUGGCAGAGCUGCCACACGCUUGCCCACGUCACCACAUCGGGCUUCCUGCUGGACAUCCGGUGUCUGUCCCUGCCACUGCCAUCUAAAAGCCCCUCAACGGCCACAGGAAGCCUUUAAAAGCAGAAGUCAAUCAUCUGUUCAAAACCCUUUCCUGGGUCCUAUUUCUAUUCAGAGUAAAAACCAAAGUGCUUGCAAUGGCCACCAAACCUUGCUAAUACCUGUCCCAGGCCCCUGCAAGGGUCGCUCUGAUCUUGUCUACUACACUGUCCAUCACUCACCCUGCACUACCCCUCCCGGCUUCCCUGUUCUCCCCCAGCUGCAACCCCUAGUCCGAGGGCUUUUGCUCUGGCAGUUCUUUCUGGCAGUAAAAAGAGGCCCUUUUCCCCAGGUAUCCACGUGGUUAAUUUCCGCACUGGCAAGUCAUUGCUCCUAUGUCACUUUCCCAGUGAGGCCAAUUGCAACCACUUAACACCUCAACCUGUCUCCCUUACCCCCACACCCCUGCUUUAUUUGAUUUUUGAUCCUUCUUAUCCUAUUUUUCUUUUUACUGUAACACUCUUAUCAUCCUAAUAUACUACAUAACUCACUUAUUUGAUAUGCUUACUGUUAAUUUUCUGUCUCCCACUGCUACAAUAUAAGCCCCACAUUGGUGGGGGGGUGGGGGGGCUUUAGUUUGUUCAUUGACAAACCCUAAGCACAUGGAACAAUGUCUGAUAUAUAAUGGAAGUGAAUAAAUGUUUGAUAAUAAAUGCUUACACUAAGCA
Molecule: long non-coding RNA, 1777 nt
Filed under: Homo sapiens (human)
Lineage: Eukaryota; Metazoa; Chordata; Mammalia; Primates; Hominidae
Description: novel transcript
Source: RNAcentral